GUCCCCAAAGGUCAUAAUGUAUUUUCUUCAAUGGGUAAGAACAUUGAGAGUCACAUAAACAAAAUGAUACUGCAAAAUAUGGCUGUUCAAGUGGCCCAGUCGGUGAUGCCAAGUGAGUUCAUCUACUAUUUUAUUCCUCUAAGAAAGAAUGCAGCAAAGUAUGGGACUUUAUUGGUGUAUAGUCCCUGAUAAUUAAUUUCCAACAUCAGCACCUAGUGUUUCCUGGAGUCCUUGAUAGAAAAACUAGAGGUAUCAAACUCAAAAUAGUAUGGAUAAUCUCUUAUUAAUUGAGAUACGGACAGUAGAUUUUUCUUCAUUUUGGGUACAAUCACAACAUUGCGAAGUGAAAAAUGGCAAGUAUCAUUAUCAAUUUGGUUGA
Elaeis guineensis (African oil palm) is the source of this 379-nucleotide long non-coding RNA. RefSeq lists it as uncharacterized. NCBI's taxonomy places the organism in Eukaryota, Viridiplantae, Streptophyta, Magnoliopsida, Arecales, Arecaceae. The record is from RefSeq and is a predicted model, not a curated record.